Molecule: long non-coding RNA, 403 nt
Filed under: Carica papaya (papaya)
Lineage: Eukaryota; Viridiplantae; Streptophyta; Magnoliopsida; Brassicales; Caricaceae
Description: long non-coding RNA (CPAP_LNC005549)
Source: RNAcentral
UAACAUUCCCUAAUAAAGUUUUGUUCUCAGGUGUAGAAACAAACAAUACAGAAUCAACACUUUUAGGUAACACAUUUAAAUUUUUAGUAAAAGCAUGUGAAACCAUAACAUGUAAAGCACCAGUAUCAAUCAAAACAUGUGCAAGGUAGUUGCAGAUAAUAUAUGUACCCUAUAUCACUUCUGGAUUGGCUUCAGUAUUCUGCUGGGUGAGUGUGUAGACUCUGUCCUAUACUGCAAAUUUGGUCUGAUUUUGAUUCCUUAGGCACUCUCUCACGUAGUGCUGGGUACUCUCGUAUAUACGACAGGUUUUAUUAAGGCAAUAAGAAGGUUAUUCUCCAUGAUCCUUACCAUAAUACUGAUAAAUCUUGCCUCGUCCUACUAUCAAGGCUUGGGGAGGAGCCUG